UUUGGCGCCGUUGCCGGGGAGGCAAAUCGAGAAGCAAGAACGAUCACGAAGAUCAAAUCGGAUUUUGGAUACUCGGAGUGAACGCACUCCGGUAGUAAGUUUUUAUUUUUAUUAAUUUUUUUAUUUUGAUUAUUUUUAGUUAGUAAUUUCAUAGUUAUUAUUAGUUAUUAUAAGUUUUUAUUAGUUAUUCUGAAAUUUGAAAUUCGAAAUUUAAAGUUUUCUAAAAAAGUAAAAAAAAUUAAAAAAAAUCAAAAAAUUCAAAAAUUUAAAUUCAAAAUUUGAAUUCUGUGAUUCGAAAUUUG
This 302-nucleotide long non-coding RNA is filed under the name Phoenix dactylifera (date palm). RNAcentral describes it as "long non-coding RNA (PDAC_LNC021925)". Lineage: Eukaryota; Viridiplantae; Streptophyta; Magnoliopsida; Arecales; Arecaceae. The record is from RNAcentral.